CUAGAGCCUAAAUGUUAGCAAUUAAGGUUAGGAGUUAGAAGUUAAAAGAAAAGCGUUUCGACGCUUAACACUUAACCUAUAAUCCUUAACUGAAUCGCACUUUUAGGAAAAAAGACGAAGAUUAUUUUGGAAAGAAUCCCAAGAUUUAAUUACUCUCGCUGUUAGUUCAAAUAAUACGCGUAAGACCGUUAUGAUGACGGUUUUAUUUUUAAGUAAAAAGAGUGUCUCGUAGCUCAGCUGGUUAGAGUACUACACUGAUAAUGUAGGGGUCGACAGUUCGAGUCUGUCCGAGACAACUAUUUAGCUUAAAAAAAGGAAAUUCUAGAAGUUGGAAUUCACCAAGAGAAAUUAGACAUUCAGUUUAGAAAUCUAAAAUCUGAAUUCAAAAAUCUAAAAUUGAAACGGGGGAUUAGCUCAGCUGGCUAGAGCGCCUGCCUUGCACGCAGGAGGUCAACGGUUCGACUCCGUUAUUCUCCACAAGAUGCUGAAAUAAAUUCAGCAUAAAAGUUCAUUGACAUAUUGAGAUAAAAAUAUUUAAAAAGUAGAAAGCAGUUUUUUCUAAUUUAUUAGAGAAAACGAAAAAAAACGGUCUUAAUUAAAUUUAAGAUUGGUA
RNAcentral lists this transfer RNA (613 nucleotides) under uncultured Bacteroidota bacterium. RNAcentral describes it as "uncultured Bacteroidetes bacterium 16S-23S ribosomal RNA intergenic spacer". The stretch from base 223 to 296 matches the Rfam family "tRNA". Lineage: Bacteria; Pseudomonadati; Bacteroidota. The record is from RNAcentral.